GAUGAAGAACGUAGCGAAAUGCGAUACUUGGUGUGAAUUGCAGAAUCCCGUGAACCAUCGAGUCUUUGAACGCAAGUUGCGCCCGAAGCCACUAGGCCGAGGGCACGCCUGCCUGGGCGUCACACGCCGUUGCCCCCCCAUCUACUCCUUCGGGAUUGCGGGGGGGCGGAUGAUGGCCUCCUGUGCGCCUAGCCGCGCGGUUGGCAUAAAUACCAAGUCCUCGGCGACGCACGCCACGACAAUCGUUGGUUGCGAAACCUCGGUUGCCCGUCGUGUGCGUUCGUCGCGCAUCGAGGGCUCGAAAAAAUGCUCGGCUCCGGCUGGGCUUUCAACGCGACCCCAGGUCAGGCGGGGUUACCCGCUGAAUUUAAGCAUAUCAAUAAGCGGAGGA
Molecule: unclassified non-coding RNA, 391 nt
Filed under: soil metagenome
Description: partial contains 5.8S ribosomal RNA, internal transcribed spacer 2, and large subunit ribosomal RNA
Rfam family: 5.8S ribosomal RNA (bases 1-122)
Source: RNAcentral